CCUGUUCCCAUUCCGAACACAGAAGUUAAGCUCUUUAGCGCUGAUGGUACUUGGUGGGAAACUGCCUGGGAGAGUAGGACGUAGCCACGU
Molecule: ribosomal RNA, 90 nt
Filed under: Clostridioides difficile
Lineage: Bacteria; Bacillati; Bacillota; Clostridia; Peptostreptococcales; Peptostreptococcaceae
Source: RNAcentral